UACAGAGGUCUCAAGCGUUGUUCGGAUUCAUUGGGCGUAAAGGGUGCGUAGGCGGCGCGGUAAGUCGGGUGUGAAAUUUCGAGGCUUAACUUCGAAACUGCAUUCGAUACUGCCGUGCUUGAGGACUGGAGAGGAGACUGGAAUUUACGGUGUAGCAGUGAAAUGCGUAGAUAUCGUAAGGAAGACCAGUGGCGAAGGCGAGUCUCUGGACAGCAACUGACGCUGAGGCACGAAGGCCAGGGGAGCAAACGGG
RNAcentral lists this ribosomal RNA (253 nucleotides) under uncultured bacterium. Its description in RNAcentral is "partial 16S ribosomal RNA". It matches the Rfam family "Bacterial small subunit ribosomal RNA", at positions 524 to 776 of the family's 1533-position model. The record is from RNAcentral.